RNAcentral lists this long non-coding RNA (712 nucleotides) under Phoenix dactylifera (date palm). RNAcentral describes it as "long non-coding RNA (PDAC_LNC004345)". The record is from RNAcentral. Lineage: Eukaryota; Viridiplantae; Streptophyta; Magnoliopsida; Arecales; Arecaceae.
AAGAAUGUAGAUAUGGCCAAGGUGGUGGGCAUGUAGAUUGCUUAUAUGGCUAUGGAGAAAAUCCAGGUGCUAGCCUUGGCCAUGGAGGUUCUGUCAGUUGUGCUGAAGUGUAUGGAAUGACUCAGGCUCAAGUAACCAGUGCAAUAGAUGGAGAUGGAUUGAAUGCAUCCACUGGUGAGAGUUUUGCUGGAGAGGAAACCAAUCCUUCACAGGUUACAAUGAUAGGUGGUGGGCUAGCAGCUGAAGGAGUGAGUGGCGUUGGCGAUGAGACGGCAGGAGGAACUCCAUAGCCUUCAUGGUGUGAGAGUGUGAGGAUGUGUUCUAUAAAGAAUAGCCAGUAUGUUUAUCCUAGUGAGUGCUAGCUACACUUUUGAUUAGUUUGCUUACUGGGUUUGGACAAUGGAUAGAUUUUAUGCUGAAAUCUAGUGCUAUGGUUUCCACUCAGCAAUUUUACUAUUGGAUAAAUUUUGGCUGGGUGGCAAUAGUGAGCAAUAAUAUGUGUUCUUCGAGACUUUUUUCGAGCGAGGUCAUGCCUGACUAGCUGAUUUGAAAAUUUUAUCAGCCUGAACUAGUAAACAAAGCAUAGAUUUUGGUCAGUAUAUAGUCCAUGAGGGUCUAAAGAUAGCUUAAAUCUCCAAUUUCUGUGUUGAGAGGGAUUAAUGACCAUAUACCCAUUUCCAUUCUUCUCCGAGGUCAUCUUAUGAUGAAUGGA